AGAGUUUGAUCCUGGCUCAGAUUGAACGCUGGCGGCAUGCCUUACACAUGCAAGUCGAACGGCAGCACGGAGCUUGCUCUGGUGGCGAGUGGCGAACGGGUGAGUAAUAUAUCGGAACGUACCCUAGAGUGGGGGAUAACGUAGCGAAAGUUACGCUGAUACCGCAUACGAUCUACGGAUGAAAGUGGGGGAUCGCAAGACCUCAUGCUCAUGGAGCGGCCGAUAUCUGAUUAGCUAGUUGGUAGGGUAAAAGCCUACCAAGGCAUCGAUCAGUAGCUGGUCUGAGAGGACGACCAGCCACACUGGAACUGAGACACGGUCCAGACUCCUACGGGAGGCAGCAGUGGGGAAUUUUGGACAAUGGGCGAAAGCCUGAUCCAGCAAUGCCGCGUGAGUGAAGAAGGCCUUCGGGUUGUAAAGCUCUUUUGUCAGGGAAGAAACGGUUGUCUCUAAUACAGAUGGCUAAUGACGGUACCUGAAGAAUAAGCACCGGCUAACUACGUGCCAGCAGCCGCGGUAAUACGUAGGGGUGCAAGCGUUAAUCGGAAUUACUGGGCGUAAAGCGUGCGCAGGCGGUUAUGUAAGACAGAUGUGAAAUGCCCGGGCUUAACCUGGGAACUGCAUUUGUGACUGCAUGGCUAGAGUUUGGCAGAGGGGGGUAGAAUUCCACGUGUAGCAGUGAAAUGCGUAGAUAUGUGGAGGAACACCGAUGGCGAAGGCAGCCCCCUGGGUCAAGACUGACGCUCAUGCACGAAAGCGUGGGGAGCAAACAGGAUUAGAUACCCUGGUAGUCCACGCCCUAAACGAUGUCUACUAGUUGUCGGGUCUUAAUUGACUUGGUAACGCAGCUAACGCGUGAAGUAGACCGCCUGGGGAGUACGGUCGCAAGAUUAAAACUCAAAGGAAUUGACGGGGACCCGCACAAGCGGUGGAUGAUGUGGAUUAAUUCGAUGCAACGCGAAAAACCUUACCUACCCUUGACAUGGCUGGAAUCCUUGAGAGAUUGAGGAGUGCUCGAAAGAGAACCAGUACACAGGUGCUGCAUGGCUGUCGUCAGCUCGUG
This 1063-nucleotide ribosomal RNA is filed under the name uncultured bacterium. RNAcentral describes it as "bacterial SSU rRNA". It matches the Rfam family "Bacterial small subunit ribosomal RNA", at positions 8 to 1064 of the family's 1533-position model. The record is from RNAcentral.